RNAcentral lists this ribosomal RNA (521 nucleotides) under uncultured bacterium. RNAcentral describes it as "bacterial SSU rRNA". It matches the Rfam family "Bacterial small subunit ribosomal RNA", at positions 775 to 1293 of the family's 1533-position model. The record is from RNAcentral.
AGAUAAUAGAUACCCGGGUAGUCCAUGCCGUAAACGUUGGGAACUAGGUGUGGGUCUCAUUCCACGAGAUCCGUGCCGCAGCUAACGCAUUAAGUUCCCCGCCUGGGGAGUACGGCCGCAAGGCUAAAAACUCAAAGGAAUUGACGGGGGCCCGCACAAGCGGCGGAGCAUGCGGAUUAAUUCGAUGCAACGCGAAGAACCUUACCAAGGCUUGACAUACACCGGAAUCACUCAGAGAUGGGUGCGUCUUCGGACUGGUGUACAGGUGGUGCAUGGUUGUCGUCAGCUCGUGUCGUGAGAUGUUGGGUUAAGUCCCGCAACGAGCGCAACCCUCGUUCUAUGUUGCCAGCACGUCAUGGUGGGGACUCAUAGGAGACUGCCGGGGUCAACUCGGAGGAAGGUGGGGAUGACGUCAAAUCAUCAUGCCCCUUAUGUCUUGGGCUUCACGCAUGCUACAAUGGCCGGUACAAAGGGCUGCGAAACCGCGAGGUGGAGCGAAUCCCAAAAAACCGGUCUCAGUU